Molecule: RNA transcript, 1430 nt
Organism: Raphanus sativus (radish)
Lineage: Eukaryota; Viridiplantae; Streptophyta; Magnoliopsida; Brassicales; Brassicaceae
Gene name: protein TRIGALACTOSYLDIACYLGLYCEROL 2, chloroplastic
Exons: 6
Source: RefSeq, a predicted model, not a curated record
GCGAAACACAUGUGGGGAUGGAUCAGAAAGUCUUUGACGUCAAUCUCAGAUUCAAGACACCGGUUCGGUAAUAAACUUCGAGCACAUCUUCAGCUCGGAGAGAUUGCAACUUUUACUACAUAAAGUUUAGUUUUUUUUUAUUGGUGGAGAUGAUUGGGAACCCUGUAAUGUCAUCGUCUUCAAUGAUCGUUUCCCCUCGAGUUUAUUAUCCCAAUGGGCUUCCUCAUCUCCCACUGAAACCUAGAACUAGACGACAUUCAGUGGCCAGAGCUGCAUCCCCUUCCAGUCAACCAGAAGGGAAGAAGAGUCCUCUCACGGUUGUUUUGGAUGUGCCGAGGAAUAUAUGGAGACGGACUUUAAAGCCUCUGGGUGAUUUUGGGUUUGGUAAGAGGAGUGUUUGGGAAGGUGGGGUUGGUUUGUUUCUCAUCUCCGGAGCUACUCUUCUUGCUCUCAGUUGGGCUUGGUUACGAGGGUUUCAAAUGCGGGCCAAGUUCAGGAAGUAUCAGACCGUGUUUGAGCUUAGUCAAGCCUCUGGUAUCUGCACGGGAACACCGGUUAGGAUCCGUGGUGUGACCGUUGGUACGGUUAUUAGGGUUAAUCCGUCCUUGAAGAACAUUGAAGCUGUUGCUGAGAUUGAAGAUGAUAAGAUUAUUAUCCCUAGGAACUCACUGGUUGAGGUGAAUCAGUCUGGUCUUCUAAUGGAGACUAUGAUCGACAUUACGCCUAAGGAUCCGAUACCAGAACCUUCGGUAGGGCCUCUGCAUCAAGAGUGUGGUAAAGAAGGGUUGAUUGUGUGUGAUAGGGAGAAGAUAAAGGGAGAGCAAGGAGUGAGUUUAGAUGAACUAGUUGGGAUAUUCACUCGUAUGGGGCGUGAUGUGGAGGAGAUCGGUGUUGCCAAUGUGUUUUCUCUUGCUGAGAGAGCUGUUUCGGUUAUCGAAGAUGCGAAACCAUUGCUCAGAAAGAUUCAAGCCAUGGCUGAAGAUGCUCAACCUUUGCUGUCUGAGUUUCGUGAUAGCGGCUUGCUCAAGGAUGUUGAGUGUCUGACUCGAAACCUGACCCAAGCUUCUGAUGAUAUGAGUAUUGUUGUAUUGUAGAGCAUAAGUUCAGAUAUUCUGGGAUUCACAGGCGAUGAAACCACAAGAAAAAACCUUAAACUACUCAUCAAAUCCCUCAAUAGGCUACCAUGAUCAACAAGGGUUUUUCCCAAGGAAGGAGAAGGAAGAUCUCUCACUUAAUAAUUUCGAGGGGUUAUUAUUAUUAUAUUAUAUUUUAAUUUUGAAAAAGAAAAAAAAAUAGACGAGGGUGUUUCGGUCAUUACAUGUGGACAAUUUGGUCUUUUGAAGCGAUUAAUUUAAUAAUAAUAAUGGUCGGGGUCAGGACAGAAGGCGCAAGUGCUUACCUCUCUUUUUCUUUCUUCGCAUUUCGAGACA